UACGAGGGGGGCUAGCGUUGCUCGGAAUCACUGGGCGUAAAGGGUGCGUAGGCGGGUUUUUAAGUCAGAGGUGAAAUCCUGGAGCUCAACUCCAGAACUGCCUUUGAUACUGAAAGUCUUGAGUAUGGGAGAGGUGAGUGGAACUGCGAGUGUAGAGGUGAAAUUCGUAGAUAUUCGCAAGAACACCAGUGGCGAAGGCGGCUCACUGGCCCAUUACUGACGCUGAGGCACGAAAGCGUGGGGAGCAAACAGG
RNAcentral lists this ribosomal RNA (253 nucleotides) under uncultured bacterium. RNAcentral describes it as "partial 16S ribosomal RNA". It matches the Rfam family "Bacterial small subunit ribosomal RNA", at positions 524 to 776 of the family's 1533-position model. The record is from RNAcentral.